UACGGAGGGAGCUAGCGUUGUUCGGAAUUACGUGGGCGUAAAGCGUACGUAGGCGGUUAUUCAAGUCAGAGGUGAAAGCCCGGGGCUCAACCCCGGAACUGCCUUUGAAACUAGAUAGCUAGAAUCUUGGAGAGGUCAGUGGAAUUCCGAGUGUAGAGGUGAAAUUCGUAGAUAUUCGGAAGAACACCAGUGGCGAAGGCGACUGACUGGACAAGUAUUGACGCUGAGGUACGAAAGCGAUGGGGAGCAAACGGG
Molecule: ribosomal RNA, 255 nt
Filed under: uncultured bacterium
Lineage: Bacteria
Description: partial 16S ribosomal RNA
Rfam family: Bacterial small subunit ribosomal RNA
Source: RNAcentral